Molecule: ribosomal RNA, 523 nt
Filed under: uncultured bacterium
Lineage: Bacteria
Description: bacterial SSU rRNA
Rfam family: Bacterial small subunit ribosomal RNA
Source: RNAcentral
UUGACAACUCUAGAGAUAGAGUCUUCCCCUUCGGGGGACAAAGUGACAGGUGGUGCAUGGUUGUCGUCAGCUCGUGUCGUGAGAUGUUGGGUUAAGUCCCGCAACGAGCGCAACCCUUAAGCUUAGUUGCCAGCAUUAAGUUGGGCACUCUAAGUUGACUGCCGGUGACAAACCGGAGGAAGGUGGGGAUGACGUCAAAUCAUCAUGCCCCUUAUGAUUUGGGCUACACACGUGCUACAAUGGACAAUACAAAGGGCAGCUAAACCGCGAGGUCAUGCAAAUCCCAUAAAGUUGUUCUCAGUUCGGAUUGUAGUCUGCAACUCGACUACAUGAAGCUGGAAUCGCUAGUAAUCGUAGAUCAGCAUGCUACGGUGAAUACGUUCCCGGGUCUUGUACACACCGCCCGUCACACCACGAGAGUCUGUAACACCCGAAGCCGGUGGAGUAACCAUUUAUGGAGCUAGCCGUCGAAGGUGGGACAAAUGAUUGGGGUGAAGUCGUAACAAGGUAGCCGUAUCGGAAG